UUUUAGUAAGUGGACUUAUUUGUGUUGUUUUCUUCAGGAGUGCAAUCUCCUUAAAAGCCAGAGGGCACAGUUAGUUUAACAGGGUUUGUAUGAGACAAUGGCUUCAGUAUGCAUCCUUUGGGCAAAUCCAUAGGACAUAGCAACCAGCUGGUAUUAUCAGGCUGAAGUGUGCCUAGGCAUCUCCCCUGAAAGGUAGUUACGUUCAGAAAAGCCCACUUUGUCAGGAACACAGGGCUGGCUGAGAAUCAUUUUCCACUGGCAGAGAAGCAGCAGCCCAGUCACAGACCUGAUUUGAGUUACCUUACUUCCCCUUCAUUGAGCCUGUGGCAGGAGCCAAAGCAGGCACACAGAGGACAUGGAGCUGGAGGUUUGGAAAUAUGUAAGGAAUAGCAAGCAAACUUGAAUUAUGAAGGAGACACGAGGCUGCUCAGGAAGGGAGGGAGAAAGGCAAUGGUUCACCAGGCGAAGCCUUCUGUGCUGCAGAAGAGGAGCAGAGGAGGCUGUGUGUGUACUCUUCCAGGAGCUGCUUAGGCUUCAGAGCCAUAAAUAAUCGCCUGUGCUCUUCUGCUGAGCCCAUGUGAGGAGAGGUUGAUACAGUCCCCUGCGAGCAAAGAUCUCACCUCCCUGACCCAGACAGAGGCCCAGAGCACCGAAUACACCAGGAAGAAGAGCCAGCUUGAAAGCACAGCCCACAGGAGGCAUGCCAGCUUUUCCUUACAGAGUGAAAAAGACAGAUCCAGCCUUGGGACCUGACACCCGGACAGUCAGCAUGACCAGACAAUGGUCUCACUCAUCUUUGGCUCCACACAGGAACCCCCAGUUUGCCCUCUGCACCUAGGGUAACCACCAGCAUGCCAAAGGAAUUAUGACUUUGGAACUACAGGGAAAACCCAUGAUGUUUACCUGAAUACUUUGACACCACAGGCUAUUUUAUUCUGAUUUAUUUCUCAGGACUGGUGUUUAGUAAUUUUACCAGUGCUGUUUUUUAUG
Lepidothrix coronata (blue-crowned manakin) is the source of this 990-nucleotide long non-coding RNA. RefSeq lists it as uncharacterized. Lineage: Eukaryota; Metazoa; Chordata; Aves; Passeriformes; Pipridae. The record is from RefSeq and is a predicted model, not a curated record. The transcript has 3 exons.